This 2277-nucleotide long non-coding RNA is filed under the name Mytilus galloprovincialis (Mediterranean mussel). Lineage: Eukaryota; Metazoa; Mollusca; Bivalvia; Mytilida; Mytilidae. The record is from RNAcentral.
ACAGGAGGAAAAGUUUUGUUAAAUUUUAAACAACAAGAGCCAUCAGACCAUGUCAGUCCUAAUGAAGUAUUAAAGGUGUUAGGUAUCCAGGAAACAGUAGAGUAUCCAGAGGCCCAGGGAGCCUCUUGUCCAUUACCUCAAUCAAAUGAAGAAACUAAGCAGUCAUAGCAUGUAAGUCAUUAAUAUUAUAUCCAGAGGCCCAAUGAGCCUCUUGUUCAUUACCUCAAUCAAAUGAAGAAACUAAGCAGUCAUAACAUGUAAGUCAUUAAUAUCAUAUCAUUUAAUUUUUAAAGAUACAGUUUCAAGAGUAACUUACUUCUUCGUCCCAAGGGGGACAUAGGGCACUACAAAGUCCAGAGUCAUCAACAUCACAUCAUUUUCAGAUACUGUGGAUUCAUUUAUUUUAGUGGGUACCAAUUUUGUGGAUUGGGGAAAACUUGUUUAUUCGUGGAUAUUUAAAUCUGAGGUUUCGUCAAAGGUUGUUUACAUUCCUUUAUCAAAAUCUGUACUUUGUUAUACAUUAAGAUUCGUGGUUCCCCUGUUCCUACAAAAAUCCAGGAAGAAAUUGGUAUCCGACAAUAUUAAUGAAUCCACAGUACAGUUAAAGUAAUACCCAACAAAAAUUAAUUUGGCUCGUUUAAUUUUCUUAAAAUUUUGACAAAGUAUUUACUUUGACCCUUUUACAAAAAUAUAAAAAUUUCAAAAAAUUUGAACCAACCGUUUUAUCAGAAAAAUUACACUGGUUAUAUAGCAGUUUGACAAACAAUUAUUUUAAUCAUUGAGAAGCUUAACAUUCCCUUAACAACACAACGUAAUUUAAAAAAAUGUUUAGCUGAUUUACAGAGUUAUCUCCCUGUAGUGUUAGGUACCACCUUAAAGAGAAGGUGAUACAAAAGAUGUAAAUUGUACUAUUUUUAAUUAUUUCCAGCUCCAUUUUGAAAUUUAUGGUAUUUAAGUGUCAGUAUUUUUCAUGUCUGCACCUUUACCACGGGGGGCAUUAAAUGUUACCCUUGUUUGUCUGUUUGUCUGUACAUAUGUCCAGAAAUUAGUUUCUGUUCUCUAACUUAAGUUUACCUCAACAAAAUGUUAAGAAACUCAUAAAAUUUGCUUACUAUCACAGAUAAAGUUUGCACUGCCUUUACUGUUCAUGAAUAAUAAUAAAAAAAAACAUUGAUUGUUUAAGCAGUGAUUUUCCUUCACAAAAAAGUUUUUGUGGUCAAUUAAUACGAUCUCACUAUUUCCAGUAAUUCACAAUAAAAAAUGCACACAUCAAUUAAAUAUAAAUAUUUUUUUGAUAUAAUAUAUAUACACUCAUUACUGUAAAUUCAGAAGUCACUGCAUGCAUUUAUUAUUGGGAUUUCCACAUCACAUGCUCCACGUCAAUGUUAAAAUAAUUAGGGCAAUUACAGGGCUGCAUACAAAUAUAUGGUUCAGAUUUCAGAAUGAGGGCAAUAAUUAUUGACCCAGUUUCAAAAUAAAAACAAAGUUUCUGAAUCUUCACUUUAGCAAGUUUUUGAUGUGCUAUUUUUUUUUACAGAUUGUCAAGUUGUUGAGUAGAAGCUAAAAGAUAUGACACUUUUCCAUCAUUUGUUCGUUAGUCACAGAUCUGACAGAGUGUAGUGUCAUGACGUAGGAUUCCUGAAACCAUAGCAAUGGGAGGAGUCUAACUGAGUUAUCUACCUUGACCAAGGUUGAUUACUACCAGGUGUCGCCUCUGUGACAUAUGUUUGAAUGGUGGAAUUGUACUUACAAAAGGAUUUUAAAUGGAGCAUUAUUAUAUUUUAAACAAUUUCAAUAUUAUAUUUACAUAUUGUCUCAUAUGUGCUAAAUGUGUGCUAAGUUUAUACAUGUCACUUCUUAGUCAUCUUUAUCUUCAAGAUUCCAAUUAUUUAAACUUAAAAUGGUGAAAUUUUUGUUAUCCCUUAGACUUACCUUACAUUUACAUGUAUAUGUUUGGUUUUUUCUAAGUGAAAAUUUGGAUUUUUAGAAAAAAUAAUACUUUCUUUAAAUUUACCGUUUUUUUUUCAAUAUUGAAAUGCUUCAGUUUAUUUGUAAGUCUGUUAUUUGUAAUUACUAUUCAGAAAGGAAGUGUUACUUGGAAGAACUGAAAAUUCAUAACAGAGAAGUUCUGUUUGUUUCAAAAUGGGGGGAGGGGGUAAAAGAAGUGUACAUGAAUGUAAGACAUACCUCAUUUUCUUUAUUUUUUGUUAUUUUUAUAACUAUUAUUAAAUAUAUAUUAUGUAUUAGUACAAUGUAUAACAAUGCUUUGAGUUUGAU